Molecule: ribosomal RNA, 575 nt
Filed under: Fusarium sp. NRRL 52758
Lineage: Eukaryota; Fungi; Ascomycota; Sordariomycetes; Hypocreales; Nectriaceae
Description: eukaryotic LSU rRNA
Rfam family: Eukaryotic large subunit ribosomal RNA
Source: RNAcentral
AACUUCUGAAUGUUGACCUCGGAUCAGGUAGGAAUACCCGCUGAACUUAAGCAUAUCAAUAAGCGGAGGAAAAGAAACCAACAGGGAUUGCCCUAGUAACGGCGAGUGAAGCGGCAACAGCUCAAAUUUGAAAUCUGGCUCUCGGGCCCGAGUUGUAAUUUGUAGAGGAUGCUUUUGAUGCGGUGCCUUCCGAGUUCCCUGGAACGGGACGCCAUAGAGGGUGAGAGCCCCGUCUGGUUGGAUGCCAAAUCUCUGUAAAGCUCCUUCGACGAGUCGAGUAGUUUGGGAAUGCUGCUCUAAAUGGGAGGUAUAUGUCUUCUAAAGCUAAAUACCGGCCAGAGACCGAUAGCGCACAAGUAGAGUGAUCGAAAGAUGAAAAGCACUUUGAAAAGAGAGUUAAAAAGUACGUGAAAUUGUUGAAAGGGAAGCGUUUAUGACCAGACUUGGGCUUGGUUAAUCAUCUGGGGUUCUCCCCAGUGCACUUUUCCAGUCCAGGCCAGCAUCAGUUUUCGCCGGGGGAUAAAGGCUUCGGGAAUGUGGCUCUCUUCGGGGAGUGUUAUAGCCCGUUGCGUAAU